RNAcentral lists this ribosomal RNA (465 nucleotides) under Vreelandella stevensii. RNAcentral describes it as "partial 16S ribosomal RNA". It matches the Rfam family "Bacterial small subunit ribosomal RNA", at positions 338 to 795 of the family's 1533-position model. Lineage: Bacteria; Pseudomonadati; Pseudomonadota; Gammaproteobacteria; Oceanospirillales; Halomonadaceae. The record is from RNAcentral.
CCUACGGGUGGCAGCAGUGGGGAAUAUUGGACAAUGGGGGCAACCCUGAUCCAGUCAUGCCGCGUGUGUGAAGAAGGCCCUCGGGUUGUAAAGCACUUUCAGUGAGGAAGAACGCCUGGUGGUUAAUACCCAUCAGGAAAGACAUCACUCACAGAAGAAGCACCGGCUAACUCCGUGCCAGCAGCCGCGGUAAUACGGAGGGUGCGAGCGUUAAUCGGAAUUACUGGGCGUAAAGCGCGCGUAGGUGGCUUGAUAAGCCGGUUGUGAAAGCCCCGGGCUCAACCUGGGAACGGCAUCCGGAACUGUCAAGCUAGAGUGCAGGAGAGGAAGGUAGAAUUCCCGGUGUAGCGGUGAAAUGCGUAGAGAUCGGGAGGAAUACCAGUGGCGAAGGCGGCCUUCUGGACUGACACUGACACUGAGGUGCGAAAGCGUGGGUAGCAAACAGGAUUAGAUACCCCAGUAGUC